RNAcentral lists this long non-coding RNA (657 nucleotides) under Rattus norvegicus (Norway rat). RNAcentral describes it as "long non-coding RNA NONRATT029161". Lineage: Eukaryota; Metazoa; Chordata; Mammalia; Rodentia; Muridae. The record is from RNAcentral.
GCGGUACACGGGUGCCUGUGCCCUUCCUGUCCUGAGACCCACGAGCGCUUUCCUUGGUCUGAAGCACCUGCCUGGUUGGGACCGCUUGGGGGCGUGGCCGACGGCAGGUCUCUGCUGUACAGCGUUGUCGCUUAGCCACGCAGAGACCCUUUCGGAAUCUUGAUUCCCACUCGUAAACCUGCAGCUAGACAGAGACCCCCAAGAGAACUCGGUGACUGUCACCAAUGUCAGUUCAGAAUUCUGACUGGUCCCUCCAACAGGACAAUCCUAUCUUCAGGGAGCCAGAUCCACCAGUCAACACAGACAGUGAUUCAGGCCACCGGCCAGUACAGGGCUAUGGGGAUAUCUCUGUUCAGGUUGUAGGAGUCCCACUCUUUCUGAGACCAUGGUGGUCUCGUCCUCUGGCCCUCAUUCCCCUCCUGCCAAGUAGGAGGUAGUUUGCAUUUCUCUAUUAAAACAAAACCUUAGUCAGUCAGGUGUGACAGUGCACACCAUUAGUUCCAGAACUCAGUGAGUACAAGGCCAGCCUGGUCUAUAUAUGGAGUAUCAAGUUCCAGGCGGGAGAGACGUGCAUGUGUGUGUGCGUGUGCACAUGCAUGUGCGUGUGUGCGUGUGUGCACGUGUGUGUGAGUGUGUGUGCACCACCAUACAUGUGGA